AUUGAACGCUGGCGGCAUGCUUUACACAUGCAAGUCGAACGGCAGCAUGGGUGCUUGCACCUGAUGGCGAGUGGCGAACGGGUGAGUAAUGUAUCGGAACAUAUCCGCAAGUGGGGGAUAACGUAGCGAAAGUUACGCUAAUACCGCAUAUUCCCUGAGGGGGAAAGGAGGGGAUCCGCAAGGACCUUUCGCUUACGGAGUGGCCGAUAUCAGAUUAGCUAGUUGGUGAGGUAAAGGCUCACCAAGGCUUCGAUCUGUAGCGGGUCUGAGAGGAGGAUCCGCCGCACUGGGACUGAGACACGGCCCAGACUCCUACGGGAGGCAGCAGUGGGGAAUUGUGGACAAUGGGGGCAACCCUGAUCCAGCCAUGCCGCGUGAGUGAAGAAGGCCUUCGGGUUGUAAAGCUCUUUCAGCUGGAAAAAAAUCGCUUCACCUAAUACGUGGAGUGGAUGAUGGUACCAGCAGAAGAAGCACAGGCUAACUACGUGCCAGCCGCCGCCGUAA
This 504-nucleotide ribosomal RNA is filed under the name uncultured bacterium. RNAcentral's name for it is "partial 16S ribosomal RNA". It matches the Rfam family "Bacterial small subunit ribosomal RNA", at positions 30 to 523 of the family's 1533-position model. The record is from RNAcentral.